RNAcentral lists this ribosomal RNA (497 nucleotides) under uncultured bacterium. Its description in RNAcentral is "partial 16S ribosomal RNA". It matches the Rfam family "Bacterial small subunit ribosomal RNA", at positions 28 to 507 of the family's 1533-position model. The record is from RNAcentral.
GAUGAACGCUGGCGGCGUGCCUAAUACAUGCAAGUCGAGCGAACGGACGAGAAGCUUGCUUUUCUGAUGUUAGCGGCGGACGGGUGAGUAACACGUGGAUAACCUACCUAUAAGACUGGGAUAACUUCGGGAAACCGGAGCUAAUACCGGAUAAUAUUUUGAACCGCAUGGUUCAAAAGUGAAAGACGGUCUUGCUGUCACUUAUAGAUGGAUCCGCGCUGCAUUAGCUAGUUGGUAAGGUAACGGCUUACCAGGGCAACGAUGCAUAGCCGACCUGAGAGGGUGAUCGGCCACACUGGAACUGAGACACGGUCCAGACUCCUACGGGAGGCAGCAGUAGGGAAUCUUCCGCAAUGGGCGAAAGCCUGACGGAGCAACGCCGCGUGAGUGAUGAAGGUCUUCGGAUCGUAAAACUCUGUUAUUAGGGAAGAACAUAUGUGUAAGUAACUGUGCACACCUUGACGGUACCUAAUCAGAAAGCCACGGCUAACUACGUG